CUUCCGGUGCGUGAGGUGUGGUUCCGGGUCGUGGCGAGACUCGGGGCAACUGGGCUGCUGCUUUGCCGGCGGGCGGCGGCGAGCGGCCGGGGCAUGAGGGCGAGCCCGGAAAGCGGCAGCUGAGCCGGCCGGGAGGAGCGCCAGUCCCCGACGAUUCCGAGAGUUCGGGGCUGGGGCCGAGAGGCACCGAGGAGCCGGGCCCUCCCCCCAGGAACGUGUCCCGGGUCGCCCCGGCCGGUAGCGUGGCAGCACUUUCAGAUUAGGAAGACUCGGGAUAAAUUACACAGCUGGUACAAGACAGAGCCAGGAUUCAAGCCCAGGUGUGUCCGUGGAGAGUGUGAGAAGCCCUGUACUUGUACCAGGCUCCCUUUAACUGGACCUUGGCACAUGGUAGGUGAGCCUGUGAAACAAUAUGAAGAGGAGAAAAUAGCCUUUUAAGGAAAUUGGCCCACAGAAAGGAUGGCCUUCUUGGACAAUCCAACUAUCAUUCUAGCUCACAUUCGACAGUCACAUGUGACCAGUGAUGAUACAGGAAUGUGUGAGAUGGUUCUCAUUGAUCAUGAUGUUGACCUAGAGAAGAUUCAUCCUCCUUCAAUGACUGGAGACAGUGGGUCAGACAUUCAGGGAAGCAAUGGUGAGACUCAGGGCUAUGUAUAUGCCCAGUCAGUCGAUAUUACCUCAAGUUGGGACUUUGGUAUUAGAAGACGCUCAAAUACAGCUCAACGAUUAGAACGACUUCGAAAAGAGAGGCAAAACCAAAUCAAAUGCAAAAAUAUUCAGUGGAAAGAAAGAAAUUCUAAGCAAUCAGCCCAAGAGUUAAAGUCACUGUUUGAAAAAAAGUCCCUCAAA
Molecule: long non-coding RNA, 849 nt
Organism: Myotis davidii
Lineage: Eukaryota; Metazoa; Chordata; Mammalia; Chiroptera; Vespertilionidae
Exons: 4
Source: RefSeq, a predicted model, not a curated record